UUAAGUAAGAAAAAGCUCUCUCUCUCUCUCUCUCUCUCUCUCUUCUGCUCUGUUCGUGUUCGGUAUUGGUAUUGCACAAGUUUCGAAAUUGGAAGAGAAGUUCCGGAACUGG
Camelina sativa (false flax) is the source of this 112-nucleotide non-coding RNA. Lineage: Eukaryota; Viridiplantae; Streptophyta; Magnoliopsida; Brassicales; Brassicaceae. The record is from RefSeq and is a predicted model, not a curated record.